AGCGAACGCUGGCGGCAGGCUUAACACAUGCAAGUCGAGCGGGCCCUUCGUGGUCAGCUGCUGACGGGUGAGGAACACGUGGGAAGGUACACUUUGGUACGGAAUACUGCUGUGUAGCUAGGGCUAAUACCGGAUACGCUCCUUUGGGAUGAGGCUUGCUGCCGAAGGAUCGGCCCGCGUCUGUUUAGCAAGUUGGUGGUGUAAUGGCCUAUCAAGGCUUGGAUCAUUAGCUGGUAUGAGAGAAUGAGCACCCACUCUGGGAGUAAGACACGGCCCAGAAUCCUACGCGAGGGGGGAGAGGGGGAUAUUGGACAAUGGGGGCAAGCAUGAUCCAGCCAUGCCGGGUAAGUGAUGAAGGCGGUAGGGAAAUGAAGCUCUUUUGUACGGCACGAUAAUGACGGUACCGGAAGAAUAAGCCCCGGCUAACUUCGUG
This 433-nucleotide ribosomal RNA is filed under the name uncultured bacterium. RNAcentral describes it as "partial 16S ribosomal RNA". It matches the Rfam family "Bacterial small subunit ribosomal RNA", at positions 29 to 507 of the family's 1533-position model. The record is from RNAcentral.